RNAcentral lists this long non-coding RNA (374 nucleotides) under Brachypodium distachyon (stiff brome). RNAcentral describes it as "long non-coding RNA (BDIS_LNC003111)". Lineage: Eukaryota; Viridiplantae; Streptophyta; Magnoliopsida; Poales; Poaceae. The record is from RNAcentral.
UAGCGUCUUAUCCUUGUCCGCGGGCAGUGAAUACUCCACGACAACGUGCCGCGCAAAGCAACUCGCUCUGCCGACACCAAAGUCAUAUUGCGGCAGUGUCAGCGCAAUGGGCCGGGCUCGUGCUGAAAUUAAGCCUAGUGUAAGGACACCGUCAACAUAGACAAUGCCAGCAAGGUUGAACUCACACAAAAUAUAGUGAAGUAGAAUAAUUCAUGGCGCAAAUAAAUAUACAAGUAUACGACCAUUAUCUACAAACAACCUCUAGAUGAUACGUACAAAGAAAACUGGCCCCCCACGUGGCUCCAGCCAGCGCCAGGACACCAUCAUAUCGAGCAGUGGCCUGAUGUGCGUACUGCACGCUGAAGUUUAUCCUU